Molecule: ribosomal RNA, 443 nt
Filed under: uncultured bacterium
Lineage: Bacteria
Description: partial 16S ribosomal RNA
Rfam family: Bacterial small subunit ribosomal RNA
Source: RNAcentral
CCUACGGGAGGCAGCAGUGGGGAAUAUUGGGCAAUGGGCGCAAGCCUGACCCAGCAACGCCGCGUGAAGGAAGAAGGCUUUCGGGUUGUAAACUUCUUUUCUCAGGGACGAAGCAAGUGACGGUACCUGAGGAAUAAGACACGGCUAACUACGUGCCAGCAGCCGCGGUAAUACGGAGGGGGCAAGCGUUAUCCGGAUUUACUGGGUGUAAAGGGCGAGUAGGCGGGACUGUAAGUCAGAUGGGAAAACCAUGGGCUCAACCUAUGGCCUGCAUUUGAAACUGUAGUUCUUGAGUACUGGAGAGGCAGACGGAAUUCGUGGUGUAGCGGUGAAAUGCGUAGAUAUUAGGAGGAACACCGGUGGCGAAGGCGGUCUGCUGGACAGCGACUGACGCUGAGGCGCGAAGGCGUGGGGAGCAAACAGGAUUAGAUACCCCAGUAGUC